GGCUGAUUAAUUCUUCAAUCAUAUCAGGCAUUAUAUCUCCAAGGCCAAGUGAUACAGCCAGCUUGGGCAUCUGCUUCCGCCAGGCCGAUCCAACCACAAGCUUCCUAUACAUAUCAACAUCUUCCCUCUUUACAAUCCCAAAAGUAACCAAGUGCUGUAAGAAGGUGUGGACGUCCGGUGUUCUAACAUUCUCGAUACCACCUCGCUCUUCUAAGCUCGCCUUCCAAGUUUCAGCGAUCUCCUUGGCGCGCUCUUUCAUGGUAGGAGUAACCAAAAUCCUUGACUUCCCGAUCACUGGGUCUACAACAACUGGAAUCAGCGAUUCAAGCACUAAAACACAAGCCCAGCCCAAAUCAUUCCCACCAUCACUUUUUUCCACUCUCUUGUCAAGUGGAAACACCUCCGAGAUGGCCUCCAGCACGAAUCUCGGCGGAUCGAUGCAUUCAGCUAAAGCCAGAUGAAUUUUCGCCCUCAGUGCCUCCAAUUCCUUCUUCUUACCAGUGAUAAACCUCCAAAAUCCACCAGAAUCCAUUUCUAAACAGAACGAUUUCAGCUUCAACAACAAUCCAUCGCCAUCAUCGACUUCACCAUUCUCAUCAGCAUCUUUCUCAAGAGCUUUAAGCGCCGCCUCCAUACUUUUCUCGACCUUACCAAGCGCGAUCUGAACACUGCUCUGGAUACUAACCUCCCGCUUUUCCAGUUCAUCGAGUGACUCCUUAGUCUGAUGGUCUAGGGUUUGAAUUUUAUGCCUCAGUGCCUCCGAUUUCUUCAGAAGAUCUUGUUCCAGAUUAGUAAAGUGAUCGGAGAGCUCCUUCCAAAGCAGAGUACAGCUCGUCAUCAGAGACGUCUGCCUUUGGAACUCAUCGAAACUCGGGUGAGUCAACUCACUCACCUCUCCGGGAUCGGGGAUCGACCCCAUUUCUUUUUGCCUCUCGAACGGCGGCGGCGGCUCAGCGGCGGCUCAGCGGCGGAGAAAGAGAGAUAGAGAGAGAGGAGAGAGAAAGGGCGAG
This 1010-nucleotide unclassified non-coding RNA is filed under the name Hevea brasiliensis (rubber tree). Lineage: Eukaryota; Viridiplantae; Streptophyta; Magnoliopsida; Malpighiales; Euphorbiaceae. The record is from RNAcentral.